Chenopodium quinoa (quinoa) is the source of this 1835-nucleotide RNA transcript. RefSeq lists it as uncharacterized. The record is from RefSeq and is a predicted model, not a curated record. The transcript is spliced from 14 exons. NCBI's taxonomy places the organism in Eukaryota, Viridiplantae, Streptophyta, Magnoliopsida, Caryophyllales, Amaranthaceae.
AUAAUAAAUAACAAAAUAACAACAAAGCCCAACCUAAAUACUCCGUAAUAUUCGCUGCCCAAGUUAUUAUCAUCAUUUUCAUAGUCACCGCUUUCACUAACAUUCACCGUCUCUGGAAUAUCAAUGGCGGAAGCAGUCUGCCCUGCGCAUUGCGCAGCAUGGGCGCGCGACUACAUUGGGUAUUGCUUAUGCACUACCAGUGACGCCGUCUCUUUAUCCCUUGGUUUGGCUAGUGUUAUUAGUUGGGGUGUUGCCGAAAUCCCUCAAAUUAUCACCAAUUUUAAGACUAAAUCUACCGAAGGCCUUUCCUUUGCUUUCUUGCUUACUUGGAUUAUUGGGGACUUUUUCAACAUGUUUGGCUGCUUGCUAGAACCAGCUACUCUUCCUACACAAUUUUAUAUGGCCUUGCUGUACACUGUGACUACCUUGACUCUUACAUUGCAGUCUGUAUAUUAUGGUCACAUCUAUCAUCGAUUAAAAAGUAAAAGACAAUGCAACAAGGAUGUGAUGCCUCAUCAGGUAGAAGUGGGAGGAGAGUAUAAUGUACAUCAAAACGGUGGUGUUGAGAAACAAAAUGGAAAUUAUGGCCACACACCAAUAUCCAGUGCAAAUCAGAGUGGUGCUACAAUGAGUUCACCUAUUCCACUUCCUGGCAUUCCACGUAGUCAUUCUGCAGGACAAGAUUCCUUUUACACGUCAGCAAGAUCUUUGUCGACAAGCCAUACUCCAACAAGGAGGUCUUUUGCUGCACCAUGGAGACCCUCUACCACAGUGGAUGUUGAGGAUCCUAUUGAAGAGCCUUUGCUUGGUGGAUCCUUGCCAACUAGGCUGAUGCAUCCGUCAAAACCGAAAAACCUUUUGUGUAUUGUGCCUGCUAUAAUUUUCAUCGUUGGAACCCUGAAUUUUACCCGUAGAGACACAAGGCUGAGUUUGGCUGUUGAACUACCAAACAGAAAGCUUUUGCAGGUCAAUGGUCAGCAGAAGAUCACAUCAGGUGUUGGUGAGGGAAUAGGCACAUACAUGGGUUGGGCUAUGGCAGUUAUUUACAUGGGUGGACGGCUUCCGCAAAUUUGCCUAAAUUUUAAAAGGGGCCAUGUUGAGGGGCUCAAUCCACUGAUGUUCAUGUUCGCAUUGUUAGGAAAUACAACUUAUGUGGCCAGCAUACUAGUUAAUAGCUUGGAUUGGUCGAAGAUUUUCCCAAACCUUCCAUGGCUGGUUGAUGCAGGAGGCUGUGCACUUCUUGACACAUUUAUACUACUUCAGUUUGUAUAUUUUCUACGUCAGCGAUCAUAUCAUCGUGGGACCAAGCAAAGCACAGAGACACACAUUCUACAUUAAGUUAGAACUUUACUUUCUCAGGGACUAAGGAGAGGCAUUUGCCAAUUUUUUUGAAGGGGAAGAGUUAGAAUAGAAGGUGGCGAGUUAGCGCCUAUCAAUUACUCGUAGUAAUCAUCAACUCCCAAACAUUGGAGGGAAAAAGGAAGGAAAAAAAGAAAAAAAAAAAAAGUCAACGUCGGUAAAUAGUCAAACUCCCAGAACCUGGCAAAAGGGAAAUUUAUGCAUCUGAAAUCACGACAUUGAAUCUCAUUGAUAUCAAACUGACAGCGCUGGGGAUGCUGCUUGGCUUCAGCGUAACCUCAUAUCACAAAUUGCUUACCAUGAUAUAUUUCUAACUAUGAUUUUUCAGUUUUUGUGGUCUGUCCUGGACAAAACUCCAAUUUUGUUUUUUCUCAUUUCUUGUUGAUAUUCCUUUGACAACUGAAAACAGCUUUUAAAUUUUCGAAAUUGUCUCAUUUUAAAACAUUGUAAACAGAUCCGUAAUAUUUGUUACCAUA